UGGGGAAUAUUGCACAAUGGGCGCAAGCCUGAUGCAGCAACGCCGCGUGAGGGAUGACGGCCUUCGGGUUGUAAACCUCUUUUAGCAGGGAAGAAGCGAAAGUGACGGUACCUGCAGAAAAAGCGCCGGCUAACUACGUGCCAGCAGCCGCGGUAAUACGUAGGGCGCAAGCGUUAUCCGGAAUUAUUGGGCGUAAAGAGCUCGUAGGCGGUUUGUCGCGUCUGCUGUGAAAUCCCGAGGCUCAACCUCGGGUCUGCAGUGGGUACGGGCAGACUAGAGUGCGGUAGGGGAGAUUGGAAUUCCUGGUGUAGCGGUGGAAUGCGCAGAUAUCAGGAGGAACACCGAUGGCGAAGGCAGAUCUCUGGGCCGUAACUGACGCUGAGGAGCGAAAGGGUGGGGAGCAAAACAGGCUUAGAUACCCUGGUAGUCCACCCCGUAAACGUUGGGAACUAGUUGUGGGGUCCAUUCCACGGAUUCCGUGACGCAGCUAGCGCAUUAAGUUCCCCGCCUGGGGAGUACGGCCGCAAGGCUAAAACU
Molecule: ribosomal RNA, 537 nt
Filed under: uncultured bacterium
Lineage: Bacteria
Description: partial 16S ribosomal RNA
Rfam family: Bacterial small subunit ribosomal RNA
Source: RNAcentral